UAGAAUCCAGGUGUAGCGGUGAAUGCGUAGGAGAUCUGGAGGAAUACCGGUGGCGAAGGCGGCCCCUGGACGAAGACUGACGCUCAGGUGCGAAGCGUGGGGAGCAAACAGGAUUAGAUACCUGGUAGUCCACGCGUAAACGAUGUCGACUUGGAGGUUGUGCCCUUGAGGCGUGGCUUCCGGAGCUAACGCGUUAAGUCGACCGCUGGGGAGUACGGCCGCAAGGUUAAAACUCAAAUGAAUUGACGGGGGCCCGCACAAGCGGUGGAGCAUGUGGUUUAAUUCGAUGCAACGCGAAGAACCUUACCUGGUCUUGACAUCCACGGAAGUUUUCAGAGAUGAGAAUGUGCCUUCGGGAACCGUGAGACAGGUGCUGCAUGGCUGUCGUCAGCUCGUGUUGUGAAAUGUUGGGUUAAGUCCCGCAACGAGCGCAACCCUUAUCCUUUGUUGCCAGCGGUCCGGCCGGGAACUCAAAGGAGACUGCCAGUGAUAAACUGGAGGAAGGUGGAGAUGACGUCAAGUCAUCAUGGCCCUUACGACCAGGGCUACACACGUGCUACAAUGGCGCAUACAAAGAGAAGCGACCUCGCGAGAGCAAGCGGACCUCAUAAAGUGCGUCGUAGUCCGGAUUGGAGUCUGCAACUCGACUCCAUGAAGUCGGAAUCGCUAGUAAUCGUGGAUCAGAAUGCCACGGUGAAUACGUUCCCGGGCCUUGUACACACCGCCCGUCACACCAUGGGAGUGGGUUGCAAAAGAAGUAGGUAGCUUAACCUUCGGGAGGGCGCUUACCACUUUGUGAUUCAUGACUGGGGUGAAGUCGUAACAAGGUAACCGUAGGGGAACCUGCGGCUGGAUCACCUCCUU
Molecule: ribosomal RNA, 864 nt
Filed under: uncultured bacterium
Lineage: Bacteria
Description: bacterial SSU rRNA
Rfam family: Bacterial small subunit ribosomal RNA
Source: RNAcentral